Molecule: ribosomal RNA, 2254 nt
Filed under: Salmonella enterica subsp. enterica serovar Typhimurium
Lineage: Bacteria; Pseudomonadati; Pseudomonadota; Gammaproteobacteria; Enterobacterales; Enterobacteriaceae
Description: partial 23S ribosomal RNA
Rfam family: Bacterial large subunit ribosomal RNA
Source: RNAcentral
AGACCCGAAACCCGGUGAUCUAGCCAUGGGCAGGUUGAAGGUUGGGUAACACUAACUGGAGGACCGAACCGACUAAUGUUGAAAAAUUAGCGGAUGACCUGUGGCUGGGGGUGAAAGGCCAAUCAAACCGGGAGAUAGCUGGUUCUCCCCGAAAGCUAUUUAGGUAGCGCCUCGUGAAUUCAUCUCCGGGGGUAGAGCACUGUUUCGGCUAGGGGGCCAUCCCGGCUUACCAACCCGAUGCAAACUGCGAAUACCGGAGAAUGUUAUCACGGGAGACACACGGCGGGUGCUAACGUCCGUCGUGAAGAGGGAAACAACCCAGACCGCCAGCUAAGGUCCCAAAGUCAUGGUUAAGUGGGAAACGAUGUGGGAAGGCCCAGACAGCCAGGAUGUUGGCUUAGAAGCAGCCAUCAUUUAAAGAAAGCGUAAUAGCUCACUGGUCGAGUCGGCCUGCGCGGAAGAUGUAACGGGGCUAAACCAUGCACCGAAGCUGCGGCAGCGAACGUAUCACCCAAGACAACUUUACGGAGUUGACGAUUGACGGAGCGAAGCGACGUCAAAGCGUUCAUUAAAGUCGAGUUGGCUUAGGGAUACGUUCGUUGGGUAGGGGAGCGUUCUGUAAGCCUGUGAAGGUGUGUCGUGAGGCAUGCUGGAGGUAUCAGAAGUGCGAAUGCUGACAUAAGUAACGAUAAAGCGGGUGAAAAGCCCGCUCGCCGGAAGACCAAGGGUUCCUGUCCAACGUUAAUCGGGGCAGGGUGAGUCGACCCCUAAGGCGAGGCCGAAAGGCGUAGUCGAUGGGAAACGGGUUAAUAUUCCCGUACUUGGUGUUACUGCGAAGGGGGGACGGAGAAGGCUAUGUUGGCCGGGCGACGGUUGUCCCGGUUUAAGCGUGUAGGUGUGUGUUCCAGGUAAAUCCGGUUCACUUUAACACUGAGGCGUGACGACGAGGCACUACGGUGCUGAAGCAACAAAUGCCCUGCUUCCAGGAAAAGCCUCUAAGCAUCAGGUAACACGAAAUCGUACCCCAAACCGACACAGGUGGUCAGGUAGAGAAUACCAAGGCGCUUGAGAGAACUCGGGUGAAGGAACUAGGCAAAAUGGUGCCGUAACUUCGGGAGAAGGCACGCUGACACGUAGGUGAAGUGAUUUACUCAUGGAGCUGAAGUCAGUCGAAGAUACCAGCUGGCUGCAACUGUUUAUUAAAAACACAGCACUGUGCAAACACGAAAGUGGACGUAUACGGUGUGACGCCUGCCCGGUGCCGGAAGGUUAAUUGAUGGGGUCAGCGCAAGCGAAGCUCCUGAUCGAAGCCCCGGUAAACGGCGGCCGUAACUAUAACGGUCCUAAGGUAGCGAAAUUCCUUGUCGGGUAAGUUCCGACCUGCACGAAUGGCGUAAUGAUGGCCAGGCUGUCUCCACCCGAGACUCAGUGAAAUUGAACUCGCUGUGAAGAUGCAGUGUACCCGCGGCAAGACGGAAAGACCCCGUGAACCUUUACUAUAGCUUGACACUGAACAUUGAGCCUUGAUGUGUAGGAUAGGUGGGAGGCUUUGAAGUGUGGACGCCAGUCUGCAUGGAGCCGACCUUGAAAUACCACCCUUUAAUGUUUGAUGUUCUAACGUGGACCCGUAAUCCGGGUUGCGGACAGUGUCUGGUGGGUAGUUUGACUGGGGCGGUCUCCUCCUAAAGAGUAACGGAGGAGCACGAAGGUUGGCUAAUCCUGGUCGGACAUCAGGAGGUUAGUGCAAUGGCAUAAGCCAGCUUGACUGCGAGCGUGACGGCGCGAGCAGGUGCGAAAGCAGGUCAUAGUGAUCCGGUGGUUCUGAAUGGAAGGGCCAUCGCUCAACGGAUAAAAGGUACUCCGGGGAUAACAGGCUGAUACCGCCCAAGAGUUCAUAUCGACGGCGGUGUUUGGCACCUCGAUGUCGGCUCAUCACAUCCUGGGGCUGAAGUAGGUCCCAAGGGUAUGGCUGUUCGCCAUUUAAAGUGGUACGCGAGCUGGGUUUAGAACGUCGUGAGACAGUUCGGUCCCUAUCUGCCGUGGGCGCUGGAGAACUGAGGGGGGCUGCUCCUAGUACGAGAGGACCGGAGUGGACGCAUCACUGGUGUUCGGGUUGUCAUGCCAAUGGCACUGCCCGGUAGCUAAAUGCGGAAGAGAUAAGUGCUGAAAGCAUCUAAGCACGAAACUUGCCCCGAGAUGAGUUCUCCCUGAGACUUAGAGUCUCCUGAAGGAACGUUGAAGACGACGACGUUGA